GAGAAGGACUAAACUGAAAUUUUGGCUUGGUUGAUGGGAGUAUGAUUGGUAUGGUUUGAUGUGUUUAAAGGGAAUUAAAGAUGUUAAUAAACUUACAUUAGUAUGGUGUUAAGAUGGAAAUGCACCAAUUGUGAUUGAAUGAGUGAGUUAGGGUUUCAAUGCUAGGGUUUGUGAACCAAGAUUUGGAGAAAUGCAUAAAUGGCA
Molecule: unclassified non-coding RNA, 204 nt
Filed under: Hevea brasiliensis (rubber tree)
Lineage: Eukaryota; Viridiplantae; Streptophyta; Magnoliopsida; Malpighiales; Euphorbiaceae
Source: RNAcentral